RNAcentral lists this transfer RNA (72 nucleotides) under Camelus bactrianus (Bactrian camel). It matches the Rfam family "tRNA". Rfam says of the family: Transfer RNA (tRNA) molecules are approximately 80 nucleotides in length. RNAcentral also lists the same sequence under 2 other names. The record is from Rfam by way of RNAcentral. Lineage: Eukaryota; Metazoa; Chordata; Mammalia; Artiodactyla; Camelidae.
AUGGCUGUAGCUCAGUGGUAGAGUGCAUGCUUAGCAGGCAUGAAGUCCUGGGUUCAAUCCCCAGUGCCUGCA